AGCGGCUSCACGGGUGAGCAACACGUGGGAACGUACCCUUUACUACGGAAUAACGCAGGGAAACUUGUGCUAAUACCGUAUGUGCCCUUCGGGGGAAAGAUUUAUCGGUAAGGGAUCGGCCCGCGUUGGAUUAGCUAGUUGGUGGGGUAAAGGCCUACCAAGGCGACGAUCCAUAGCUGGUCUGAGAGGAUGAUCAGCCACAUUGGGACUGAGACACGGCCCAAACUCCUACGGGAGGCAGCAGUGGGGAAUAUUGGACAAUGGGCGCAAGCCUGAUCCAGCCAUGCCGCGUGAGUGAUGAAGGCCCUAGGGUUGUAAAGCUCUUUCACCGGAGAAGAUAAUGACGGUAUCCGGAGAAGAAGCCCCGGCUAACUUCGUGCCAGCAGCCGCGGUAAUACGAAGGGGGCUAGCGUUGUUCGGAAUUACUGGGCGUAAAGCGCACGUAGGCGGACAUUUAANUCAGGGGUGAAAUCCCAGAGCUCAACUCUGGAACUGCCUUUGAUACUGGGUGUCUUG
This 516-nucleotide ribosomal RNA is filed under the name uncultured bacterium. Its description in RNAcentral is "bacterial SSU rRNA". It matches the Rfam family "Bacterial small subunit ribosomal RNA", at positions 94 to 644 of the family's 1533-position model. The record is from RNAcentral.